UUCUGUAAGGGUAUUAGAUAUACAGAAGAAAUUCCUGCUAAAAUAUGUUUCACAAUUGUCCUGUAAUUGGUGGUUUUUGGCGCCCCCUACUGUUUACCUAUAAAUUGGAUGAGAAACCAAAAAUUCCACACAGUUGGUUCAGCGCUCUGUUGUGAGCCAUAGGUUGACCGGUAGAGAGGCUAACUGCGCCAUAUGUGUUUUGUCAACCACUGAUUACAGAUUGCAAUAAAUCACCUAAAAACCAACCAACYGGCCUCCGAGUGUGCAUAAUAGGACGGACAGGUAAAGACAGAGCUGUCACACUUCCUCCUCCAAACAUCAGACAUGCUGCAGUCACAGCGCAGUAGAAGAUCCAUCUGACAUAUGGAGUUUCCAUUGCUGCUCGGCGCGCAGAGAUGUCAAAACUCCCAAACUAAAGAGUGAGGAUGCGUCGAGUUUCUUCACUGGCAUUGAGACGAACCGUCCUAUUGGUCAGGAACCCCUGUGUAGCCAGAACUUCCCCGCCACUCAGAAUUAGCGGUCAAACACUCUCUGCAGCUUGCAGUGACUGAGAUGUGUCCAGCUAGGUCUUUCAGCAAUCUUUACAGCUGUUGGUGUUGUCUUCAGCACCUGGAACGGUCCUUCCCACCGUAGACUCGCCCAGUUCUUUCGUUUGAUGACUUUAAUGUAGACCCAGUCACCUGGCUCGAUGGGAGCGGCCUCCUGGAAGGAAGAGAAUCAGAAGGCAGUAAAUUUGCACUGGACACUUCCUUCAGUUUAAGAGUUCUGAUCAUAUAAUCUGCUAAUGUUUGUUAUUCAUCUGCUUUCUGUAAGUCUGGAGCAAACAGAGUCUAUCUAUAAGCUCUCCCAUGAAUUAUUUCAAAAGCAGGCUUUGCUGGAACUAUUUCAACCCAUUUAGAAAAAGCAUCAAUUAUCAUCUAACCGUAUUUGUUAAUUCAAAAGUUCAUAACAAAAAAAACUUUUAUGUAAGAAUUUUAGUGGUUCUAUUACCUCACCAUUUUCCCUUUUCCCCCCUUUUUUACACAUGGUUUCUAUUGUAAAAAGGGGGCCCAUGUGUUACAAUCACUUGAGCUUGAAAUAAAGUCUUUGGGAGGAUUAAUAGUUAAUUCAGGUGAACUCACAGGUUUAUUGCUUUUAGAAGAUCCUUUAGCAAACAAGUCUUUUAAUUACAGGUUUACCUUUCAUUUAUUUAUUUUUUUGUUAAAUUCAGCAGCUUCAACAUUUCUAUGUUAUUUCUCUAAAAUAAAAAUGACCAUCUUUAAUUUAAACCA
Non-coding RNA from Poecilia reticulata (guppy), 1271 nucleotides. Lineage: Eukaryota; Metazoa; Chordata; Actinopteri; Cyprinodontiformes; Poeciliidae. The record is from RefSeq and is a predicted model, not a curated record.